CACUCCUACGGGAGGCAGCAGUGGGGAAUUUUGGACAAUGGGCGAAAGCCUGAUCCAGCAAUGCCGCGUGAGUGAAGAAGGCCUUCGGGUUGUAAAGCUCUUUUGUCAGGGAAGAAACGGUGAAAGCUAAUAUCUUUUGCUAAUGACGGUACCUGAAGAAUAAGCACCGGCUAACUACGUGCCAGCAGCCGCGGUAAUACGUAGGGUGCAAGCGUUAAUCGGAAUUACUGGGCGUAAAGCGUGCGCAGGCGGUUUUGUAAGUCUGAUGUGAAAUCCCCGGGCUCAACCUGGGAAUUGCAUUGGAGACUGCAAGGCUAGAAUCUGGCAGAGGGGGGUAGAAUUCCACGUGUAGCAGUGAAAUGCGUAGAUAUGUGGAGGAACACCGAUGGCGAAGGCAGCCCCCUGGGUCAAGAUUGACGCUCAUGCACGAAAGCGUGGGGAGCAAACAGGAUUAGAUACCCCAGUAGUCCCA
RNAcentral lists this ribosomal RNA (472 nucleotides) under uncultured organism. RNAcentral describes it as "partial 16S ribosomal RNA". It matches the Rfam family "Bacterial small subunit ribosomal RNA", at positions 334 to 797 of the family's 1533-position model. The record is from RNAcentral.